ACUAAAGGAUCUUAGCCUAAAACCUUCGCAUCCUGCGAAAAUGGCUAACUGACCUGCGUCGGUAAA
Non-coding RNA from Lysinibacillus xylanilyticus, 66 nucleotides. The record is from Rfam. NCBI's taxonomy places the organism in Bacteria, Bacillati, Bacillota, Bacilli, Caryophanales, Bacillaceae.